AGACGAAAUACCCACGGGCCU
This 21-nucleotide microRNA is filed under the name Cordylochernes scorpioides. Lineage: Eukaryota; Metazoa; Arthropoda; Arachnida; Pseudoscorpiones; Chernetidae. The record is from RNAcentral.